UUUAUUGAUUACUGCUUGAAAAAUGUAGUUUUGGCUUGUUAAGACUUCUUCCGGUGGGCUCGAUCACAUGACUCCGUUUCACCAAUAGGUGACGUUUGACUCCAUUUCACCAAUCAAAUUAAGCCUAGCGGUCACAUGACCACAACAAGGAACACCAUUUAACUUACAAACUACGGAAAAAAACCUUUUCUUUUUUUUUUUUUUAAUCAUGCGCUGUCGUUUUUGUCAGUUAAAAUAUUCACAUAUCGACUUACGAAAAUUCCACUUCCAACCAGACAAAACACGUUGCGUUACAGGGCUUUCACAAAGUUAUUGGCACUUGGAACACAGAAAGAAGAGGUGGACUGGCGCUACAAGGGGGUACACAGGCCAAGCCAGUACUGCACGGAUUGUGAAGAAGAAGAAGAAGAAGAGAUGGAAGGACGGCAGAACAAAGAAGCCAGUGGGAUGAGUGGAAGCAGCACAGGAGAAUAGUGUGGAGGUGAACAAGCAGGAAGCACAACAGUCUUCAAAGAUACUGGAGAGGACGGAAAAGCAGUCCUUAGAAGACACCUGCAAAAGUCCAUUCUCCAAGGAAUCCAGCAGUAUACAUGAGGAGGAACUGGUCCCCCACAGUCAUGCUCAGACGACCCGUGUAGCAGAAAGCCAAAAUCUGCUGGAAGCUCUGAGGCUGCACCGCCGGCGGGAGCUCCACCACUGCUGGGCUGCCCUCGUUGCCACUGCAGCCUCCGCUGUUGCUGAAAAGGUCCCGGAAGUAAGAACUGCUCGCAGCCAACACAGCACGAUGGGCCUUUAACAAAAAAAAAAGGGGGGGAGUCCGAUUAGACAUAUGAAAACACAAUAUUUGCAACUUCUACACAGUAACAACUCAAUAACGUCACCUUCUAGUGAGAAUAUUUGCAAAGAAUGGUCAAUAACUGAACUCAACUUUGCAAGUGAUAUAGUGUUCUUAUAAAAACUCAGCUGCGAUAGGCUCCAACUCUGAUGGACGGUGUUUUUUUGUUGUGUAGGUCUAGAAGCAAUGGAACCACAUAAUGGAUUCCACACCGCGGUAACAACUAGCUGGGGACGCAAUUAAAGUGAGACCCAACGAGUUUGCUGCCUGCACAGGCUCCAAGGAAAUUUAAAGUAAACAAAAACAAAGCAUAGAGAGCUCAUUCUAAACAAUGAAAAAUACAUAAUUCUAUAUAUCAGUUAGGGCUGCAGAUUUCAGGGUACCUUACGAUGCAACAUGGCUCGUGAUGAGUAUACGGCGAUGCUGCAAACAGCAAUAGUGCAAAAACAAUGACACUGUUUUAGUGCAAUCCAGCUGUUGUAACUAGAAGAUGGCAUCUCAUGUCUCUCGAGUAGCUCAAAUCUAUUAAGUAGAAACAUAACAAAACAAAAAUAAAUGUUUAGCAUUUGUAUGUCUUUGUCAGGGCCGUCUUAAACCAAUGGGGGGCCCCAGGGCUGAAGGAAUUUUUUGGGAGGGGGCCCCAAACCUCAACACCCCCACCCUGAAAACACAGUUUGAAAAACAGAAUAAUGAUUUACUCAACAGAACAGCAACAAUGUAAAAAUGCCAUCUAUUAUAACAUAAUAGUGUUCAUGAAUACAUGCUUUUAGCUCAGUCGUCAGCACGCUCGCUUCUCACUGGUGUGAGAGGCGAGUGUGCUGGGUUCGAGGCCGGCUCUGAGCAGUAGGAAAAAACAUUGCAUUCGAGAGAGAGAGUACACAAUCGCUACACGAAGCAGAGCUGUGCUAUUGCAUUCUACCGUCAAACUCGGGGGCCCCUAAUUGGGAGGUAAGCUCGUGCAUUAAGGAGGCCGUGGUCUUGGUCCUAAAUGAAUGCAGUCAAGAUUGACUGUGAUUACAAUAAAGUAAAUUCAAGCAACUCCGUUACACGUGUAGUGAUCAGUUAAGUGUUCAUGCUGCUUUCUGUUAUGACACAAGUGUACAUCACUGUCUUUACAAACACUGUAAUAUGAUUAUUCAUGUUUUUCAGUCACUACAAAUUGGUGUCAUAUUGCAGUGUUGUCCAUUACAAACGCAAACGUGUUUCAUGUUGUCGUAGAAGCUAGUUUAUCUCUUGCCGUAGGGCUAAUAUUGUAGAAUGGCGAUGUGUUACUGUGCUAGAAAAAGAGUUCCUCAGUGUUCGCUUUUACAAUAACAAUGUCUCUACAGUUUGGUUAUUAUACAGGUUACGAAACGUAAAUUAAGUAUUGUUGACAGUUUUUGAAUGCAUUUUUAAAAUGAUU
Molecule: long non-coding RNA, 2237 nt
Organism: Nerophis lumbriciformis (worm pipefish)
Lineage: Eukaryota; Metazoa; Chordata; Actinopteri; Syngnathiformes; Syngnathidae
Source: RefSeq, a predicted model, not a curated record